CACAGAAACAAUCCGCGAAUGUGGAUCUCUUCGAUGCGUAUUUCGGACGAGCGGAUUUGGACCGCGAUGGGCGGAUUAGUGGCAAUGAAGCAGUCGCUUUCUUCCAGGGCUCAGGUCUCCCCAAACAGGUCCUUGCGCAGAGGUUUUAAAGCAGGUGUGGGAUUUGUCCGAUCAGGAUAAUGAUAGCAUGCUUUCUGUCAGGGAGUUUUGUGUUGCAGUAUAUUUGAUGGAGCGGUUAGGGAUGCCCUCUUCCAGCAGUGCUACCAAGUAAUGUUAUGUUUGAUUUAUCCAAUAUUUUUCAACCUGAAAAUAAUUACUCCAAUGCUGUCAAUGUAGCCUGCAUCUGGUAUUUAUCAAGAAAACAAAUUAAUAAUUUAUUUAUUUAUUAUUAUUUUUUUAAAACCAUAUGUCUUUCUUUGGUGGAGUAUAGUUUCUUAUUUUUCACUUUAAAAGGAUUUCAACAACAGCGACUGGUGCCUGGUCCUGAUGCUCGGCAUAUGUCUGUCUUUGGAAUUCUUGUGAUUGUGGGUUUUACUUUGUUCUUAAUAUCGCUCAUUUCUGUGGGGAAGAUUUUGAUCAAGAUUUUGAAGUUCAUGAUCAGUUCUUUUAUAUUAGUAAUCUUAAUGAUUGGCACUUCACAUGUUUUUAGUGCAUGGCAUUCAUUAUACUUUUUAUUUUUUAUUUUUUUAUAAGCAUUCAUUAUACUUUAUUGCAGUUUUGUUCCAUUCUCAGCUUGUCUUUCCUCAUCCUUCUGAUGCAAUUCCCUUGGUUGUGCAUAUUGAACAUUCUACAGUAGUUUUAAAUUUUGCGUUUGAAUAUAAUUGUUCUACGAGUGGUAGAGUUUUGGACGUCCUAAUCAUUAGUUGCUUUUAAAUAAUUGGCAGACUUCUAUCUCUUUGAUUUCUGCAGUGUGUAAGAUUAUUUUUAUUUUUUUUUUGAACUAUUGGAUGUUUGUGGUCUGAAUGAGUAUUGAUUCUUGAAUUGACAAGUACUUUUGGGAGGAAGUGCAGAUCAUGUGUUUUAUCAUUGUCCUAUUGCUUUAUAUGUGUGGCUAAGAUUGUGUAGGGAAGGAAAUGUAAGUUGGGUAAUUCCGGCAGGGUACAUAAGUAGUUUGGUGGUGAUAUGAAGGCUUUUGUGAGGGUGCAGUAUGCCAGCAAUUUUUGGAGUUUCUUCGUUUGAGAGAAACACGAGUAUCUUUGAAAACGAUAUUUGGGUGAGGACUAGUUACGGAAUAAAGUUAGAUUUUGUUCACCACGUUGGCUGACCAUUUUCUCAAUUUUAUGAUCCAUAUUAUUUGAUUGGAAAGGUAACUUUUUUUGGAUAUUCUGAUUUAUAUUGAAGGCCCUGUAUGUACAAAGAAAUUGUAUUGUUCAUGUAGUCUAGUUUUUAUUGUUGUCCGUUUUAUGGUGGGGGACAACUUAACCGAAGAGAUUGCAUUUUGUUGAGGAGAUUGGGUAUGCAAUUAAAGCAUUCCUUCUUAUGCACCAUAAUGGUGAUGAAAUAAAGAUCCAAUGGUUGAAGAAGAGAGAGAGAGGGGAAAAGAGGGGGGGGGGGGGGGGGGUAGUGGGCAUGGGAAGAACUUAUCCUGUGUGUAAAUUUAGGGCCACAUUUUUAGAAGAUAAUUAUAUAUUACUGUAGGCUCAGAAUAUUUUAAAAGGCAUUUGACUAAAAAAUGUAAGAAUUUUGUAUCUAGCUACUGGCAUAAGGAAAUGAUGUUUUAAACUUUCAGUUUUUGAAUUCUGAUUCUGCAUAUUUGCUUUAAUCUGUUUACCAUUUGGUAUAAGGAUUUGUACAAGAGCAGAUGUGACAAUCGCCUUACAGAGAUCACAGAAAGGGCCUCUGCUGAUAAAUAUGAGGAGAAGAAAAUGGAGCUAAACAGGGCAGUUGUCAAGAUGGAGCAAGAAGGUGAUUCUGAUGCGCACUUCAGAUCUUGAUGGGCUUGUGAAAACUCUCAAUGAGCACCGCAAGAAUAUGGACUAGGCGGAAAGCCUACAACAUUAACUGAGCUUGCCUUUGGCUUGCAACCUGGCAUCCAAGAAGGAGCUGCUGACUGGGAUGAGGAUUGGGAUAAGUUUGAAGACAAAGGAUUUGCUUUUGUCGAGGAGCUCACUCUUGAUGUGUUAAAUGUCUUGGCGCCUUCAAAACAGAAAUCAUCAUCAGUUCAGAAAGAAAAAGCUCUCCCAGUUGAGAAUCCAACAACUGCUGCUUCACCUGAAGUUGAUGUUAAGACAGAAAAGCCUCAAAGUGCAGAUGCCAACCCUAUCAGGACUGGGUCAUCACAAGGAGGUGCUUUUCCCAGAAGAGCCGCCCUUUUACUUUCAACGAUUUUGUUCCUAUCCUAGGACACCACUCUCAGCCUUCAAUUCAGGAUAUUCACCGCCAAGGUACAAGGAUAGUUUAGAACUUUCAUUCGACACCUUCUCUAGGUUUGAUUCGUUCAGAAGCACACAAGAUACUGGAUUUUUUCCUCAACCAGAAACACUCAGAAGAUUUGAGUCUAUGCGCAGCAAUGGAGAGUUUGAUCAGGGUCAUGGUUUUCCAACAUUUGAUGACAUCCCGGACCCUUUUGGCUCUUCGCUGCCAUUUAAGUCAUCGCUGGACAGUCAAACUCCAAGAAGAGACUUGGACCCCUUUGGAUCUUCAGGGCCAUUUCGGAUCACUCGACGGUCAAACUCCAAGAAAGAAUCAGUUUUUUUUUCAAGUCUUCAGUGCCAUUUUGGACAUCAUUCGACAGUCAUAACUGCUAGAGGAGACUACUCCAUUUAGGACAUGAUUUGACGGUCAAACUCCAAGAAGAGACUUGGACCCAUUUGGGUCUUCAGGGCCUUUCCGGAUGACAAUGGAGACUCCAAGAAAAGACUAAUCGCUGGAGUGCAUUUUAACCGGGUAAUUGUUCUGCUUUGUUUUUGUGUCUGCUAUUCUCCGUUCCAAGCCUUUCUAUCGUGGGUGGGACGGGCCUUGUGUUUUAUGAUUUGAAAUCACUCAACUUAUGUAUCUUUUGUAUUUCAUUUCUUUUUGUAUGCAUCUCGCUUGUUCUUCAUUCUUUUUUUUUUUUUUUUUUUUCCUUUAGCUUGUUGCGCGACGUAUAAUUUUUCUCCUUAAUUUUGGAAUGUUCCUAGUCCUAUUGAAGCAAAGACCCCUUUAGUUUUAUCGUUGUUACAAAUUUGAUGAUUGUAUUAUUAAACCUGUGCCUUUCUUUUUUCGGCCUUAAUUUGCUGUAAUUUUUUUUACCCUCUCUAAUGAACUUUGUUCUACCAAUUUUUGUUUGGUUCAAACAAGAACAGUGUGUUUUGCUGGUGUUAGUCCAAUUGGGCCAUUCAUAUUUUUCGCUCAUUGCAGUUCAGCCAUCGAACUUUCAUGUAUUUUUGUAGUUUCGAAUGUUCAAACUAUCGUGCUUGGUCGUGAGAUAUUUACUUUGCCCUGGGUUUGGCGUAUUAAUUAAUGUCUAAGUUUAUAAUAUAAAGGUGAAUUUCAAGAUGCCGCUAGACUUGAUUAAAGAAAAAAAAAUAUGAUAGUACACACACUUGUCCAUAACCUUGCGCUUUAUAAUGUAUAAACAAUUCUAAAAUAAUAAGAGCCUAGCUGUUUGUCAGUCUUAUUCUUGGACAGACAAGUGAGUGCUGUCCUUGAACUUGCCAUUGUCUUCAGCGCCAUGCAGCCUUCAGCUACAACAUUACAUAGCAUUGGGAGCUCUGGCAAAACUCAACCACAAAACUCAAGCUUGUCGAACUUUGGUGAAGGACAGGUGGGGCAAUGACCGGGAUACCCCUUGGAAGUUGUAAACAAAGGGAUCACUCCUGCAACAAAGGAUGUAUUUGGGCGGGCAACAUCAGGACCAACAGCUUCCCUACCACCUAGACCACAGGCAGGUUCUGGGAUCAGACCUCCAAGACACCGGCUAAGGAUUCCAAACGAUCAAAUAUCUGGGAAUGGCUUUACUCACGACUCAUCUAUUGAAGAUGUUUUGUGCAACCCCAUCUCAACCAAAGCAGAAUUUUCCCCUUGGAAGCAUACCCGUCUCAUCAGCCUUGUGCCAGUAUCUGCUGGGACCCAGUCUUCAGCCAGACUCAGCAGGCCCAGUCAUUUGAAAGAGCAAACCAGUAGGUUCCCAGCUCAGACUAGUGCUACUGGAGUUUCACCUGGAGCUGGGAACUCGGCUUCUAGUCAGUCCCAUAUGUCAUGGCCUAGGAUGACUCAAACUGAUGUUCAAAAGUACACUAAUAUUUUUGUGAAAGUUGACACAGACAGUAUGGGAAAAUCACUGGUGAACAAGCCCGCGGCAUAUUUGUGAAAUGGGGAUUACCAAGAGAGAACAUGUCUUUUUCAACAACAGCAACUGAUGCCUGGUCCUGGUGCUUAACACAUGGCACCCCCAUCUGGAGGAAGGCCACCGAAGCCAGUUGCUCCUUCUCAUGCUAAGGAAAAGCAGCGGCCCAAUCAGCAGAAUGGGAGAUUGCUAGAAUUGGAGAAACAUCUCGUAAAUCAACUGAGUAUAGAGGAGGUUAACUCAGUGAACUAAAAAUUCAAAAAGCAACCGACGCUGAUAAAAGGUACUUCGAACUUUUGUAUUUCAUUUCUGUGUAUGCAUCACUUUUUCUUCAUUCUUUUUUUUUUUUUUUUUUUUUUUUCCAAACGCCUUUAGCUUGUUGCACGACAUAUAAUUUCUCUUCUUAAGUUUGGAAUGUUCCUAGUCCUUUUGAAGCGAAGACCCCUUUAGUUCUAUCGUUAUUACGAAUUUGAUGAUUGUAUAUAUUGUUAAACAGGGGGUGUGCCUUUCUUUUUCGGCCUUAAUUUGCUGUAUUUUUUUACCCUCUAAUAAAAUUUAUUUUGCUGAU
Molecule: RNA transcript, 4835 nt
Organism: Pyrus x bretschneideri (Chinese white pear)
Lineage: Eukaryota; Viridiplantae; Streptophyta; Magnoliopsida; Rosales; Rosaceae
Exons: 7
Source: RefSeq, a predicted model, not a curated record